Molecule: ribosomal RNA, 586 nt
Filed under: Navicula cf. perminuta
Lineage: Eukaryota; Bacillariophyta; Bacillariophyceae; Naviculales; Naviculaceae
Description: eukaryotic LSU rRNA
Rfam family: Eukaryotic large subunit ribosomal RNA
Source: RNAcentral
AUGCAAAGAACUUUGAAAAGAGAGUUAAAGAGUACCUGAAAUUGCUGAAAGGGAAGCGAAGGAAAUCAGUGCCGGCCGAGUCAUAUUUCUCCCUUCGCUUGCGGAGUGGGCGCUGUGUCUUGGCCACUGUCAGGCUUGGUUGGGCUGKNCGGAAUCGCGCUGUGAGAGUUGAUCACUGCAUGUCUGCGACUGGCCCGACUGAGGUUGACGAAAUGGUUUUCUUUACCCCGUCUUGAAACACGGACCAAGGAGUCUAACAUAUGUGCGAGUACAGGGGUGCCAAACCCCCGUGCGUAAUGAAAGUGACAGUGGUUGGACCCCUUUCGAGGGUGCACAAUCCGCCGGCCCCAAUUCUUCGGAAGAAUGGUCUGAGUGUGAGCAUACAUGUUGGGACCCGAAAGAUGUGUGAACUAUGCCUGAGUAGGGUGAAGCCAGGGGAAACUCUGGUGGAGGCUCGUAGCGAUUCUGACGUGCAAAUCGAUCGUCAAACUUGGGUAUAGGGGCGAAAGACUAAUCGAACCAUCUAGUAGCUGGUUCCCUCCGAAAUUUCCCUCAGGAUAGCUGCAAUCGAAUGUCAAUUUUAUCA